CACGUUCUGCCUAUGGAGAUGGUAUUUGCCAGCCCUCCCAUGGUUGUGUCAUUCUUGGAUGCCGUAACGCUCGGACGUCAGCUGUUGGUGUGUGAGGUUGAGAAGUGCCUCGGUGAUGCCUUGGAGAAGUUGUGUUCUGACACGAGCGUUGUGGUGGUCUGUGCUGUAUGAUGCUCAUUCAGUGCAGCAGAUUGGGAGCUGAAAGUUUCAUCAAUAAAUAUGACUCUGAUGGCUUCAUGUCAGCGGUCAAGCUGCUGCACAGCGUGGCACUGGUGCCUCUUGGCUUCUUGGGGCAUCUCCACUUCCCCAUCUGUGCAAUGAUGUCACCUUCAGUGACUGCAACUCCAGAGGAAGGACG
Long non-coding RNA from Nothoprocta perdicaria, 358 nucleotides. RefSeq lists it as uncharacterized. Lineage: Eukaryota; Metazoa; Chordata; Aves; Tinamiformes; Tinamidae. The record is from RefSeq and is a predicted model, not a curated record. The transcript is spliced from 4 exons.